This 183-nucleotide unclassified non-coding RNA is filed under the name uncultured Exophiala. RNAcentral's name for it is "sequence contains ITS2". The record is from RNAcentral. Lineage: Eukaryota; Fungi; Ascomycota; Eurotiomycetes; Chaetothyriales; Herpotrichiellaceae.
UCACCCCUCAAGCCCUCCGGCUUGGAGUUGGACGGUUUUGGUCAGGGACCUUCUCCUCGACCCCUCCUAAAGACAAUGACGGCGGCCUCGUGCGACCCCCGGUACACUGAGCUUUCCAUCGUGGAGCACGUAUCGGAUCAAGGGUUAACGGGACACGGUCUUAACUUUAAUGUUUUUUAACAA